UGGGGAAUUUUGGACAAUGGGCGCAAGCCUGAUCCAGCCAUGCCGCGUGCGGGAAGAAGGCCUUCGGGUUGUAAACCGCUUUUGUCAGGGAAGAAAUCUUCUGAGUUAAUACCUCGGGAGGAUGACGGUACCUGAAGAAUAAGCACCGGCUAACUACGUGCCAGCAGCCGCGGUAAUACGUAGGGUGCAAGCGUUAAUCGGAAUUACUGGGCGUAAAGCGUGCGCAGGCGGUUUUGUAAGACAGAGGUGAAAUCCCCGGGCUCAACCUGGGAACUGCCUUUGUGACUGCAAGGCUUGAGUGCGGCAGAGGGGGGAUGGAAUUCCGCGUGUAGCAGUGAAAUGCGUAGAUAUGCGGAGGAACACCGAUGGCGAAGGCAAUCCCCUGGGCCUGCACUGACGCUCAUGCACGAAAGCGUGGGGAGCAAACAGGAUUAGAUACCCUGGUAGUCCACGCCCUAGACGAUGUCAACUGGUUGUUGGGAAGGUUCCUUCUCAGUAACGUAGCUAACGCGUGAAGUUGACCGCCUGGGGAGUACGGCCGCAAGGUUGAAAGCUCAAAUGAAUUGACGGGGGCUCAUAGCUGUUUCC
RNAcentral lists this ribosomal RNA (588 nucleotides) under uncultured bacterium. RNAcentral describes it as "partial 16S ribosomal RNA". It matches the Rfam family "Bacterial small subunit ribosomal RNA", at positions 355 to 934 of the family's 1533-position model. The record is from RNAcentral.